RNAcentral lists this ribosomal RNA (469 nucleotides) under uncultured bacterium. RNAcentral's name for it is "bacterial SSU rRNA". It matches the Rfam family "Bacterial small subunit ribosomal RNA", at positions 60 to 524 of the family's 1533-position model. The record is from RNAcentral.
AGUCGAGCGGAUGAGAAGAGCUUGCUCUUCGAGUUAGCGGCGGACGGGUGAGUAAUGCCUAGGAAUCUGCCUGGUAGUGGGGGACAACGUUUCGAAAGGAACGCUAAUACCGCAUACGUCCUACGGGAGAAAGCAGGGGACCUUCGGGCCUUGCGCUAUCAGAUGAGCCUAGGUCGGAUUAGCUAGUUGGUGAGGUAAUGGCUCACCAAGGCGACGAUCCGUAACUGGUCUGAGAGGAUGAUCAGUCACACUGGAACUGAGACACGGUCCAGACUCCUACGGGAGGCAGCAGUGGGGAAUAUUGGACAAUGGGCGAAAGCCUGAUCCAGCCAUGCCGCGUGUGUGAAGAAGGUCUUCGGAUUGUAAAGCACUUUAAGUUGGGAGGAAGGGCAGUAAGCGAAUACCUUGCUGUUUUGACGUUACCGACAGAAUAAGCACCGGCUAACUCUGUGCCAGCAGCCGCGGUAAU